AAUAUACUCCCUCCGUCCGGAAAUACUUGUCAGAGAAAUAAAUGUAUCCAGAUGUAUUUUAAUUCUAGAUACAUCCAUUUUCAUCCAUUUAUGCGACAAGUAAUUCCGGACGGAGGGAGUACUAG
Molecule: non-coding RNA, 125 nt
Organism: Triticum aestivum (bread wheat)
Lineage: Eukaryota; Viridiplantae; Streptophyta; Magnoliopsida; Poales; Poaceae
Source: Rfam